UGAACAUCUCCCAUCUCCUGCUCAAACUCUCACUGUCAGAUGUCACUUCUACAUUUUGCCUGUAACUGUUGGAGUCAGCCUCUGUGGGAUUGUACUUCCUCUCUCAAUAGUUUUAUUUAUGAAGAGAGAAAGUUUAAGAGGAGGCAAGAGGCAAAAGAGAAAUACAGAUGAAUCUGAUUAUGGGAACGCCAGCCUCAAGCCCUGUCCUACCUGUGACACAUCCACAUCCAGCUCUCCUGUGUAUGAGAUACUGCAGCCUUAAGGAAACAUCAGUAAGAGAAUCAUCACUGAGAAAUCAAACUUGCAGCUGUAUCCCGAUGCAGUCAGAAGAGUGAGAGAUAUAGAGGGGAAGAGAGAUGCAUGAUCACAUGUAGAGUACACAAGUAUUGUUUCCUUCAAAAGAAAAGCUUUUCAGUGUUUUACAUUAAUAAUUAAUGCAAAAAAUGUUGCAGCCU
Non-coding RNA from Electrophorus electricus (electric eel), 455 nucleotides. The record is from RefSeq and is a predicted model, not a curated record. Lineage: Eukaryota; Metazoa; Chordata; Actinopteri; Gymnotiformes; Gymnotidae.